Molecule: ribosomal RNA, 492 nt
Filed under: uncultured bacterium
Lineage: Bacteria
Description: partial 16S ribosomal RNA
Rfam family: Bacterial small subunit ribosomal RNA
Source: RNAcentral
AGUGAACGCUGGCGGUAGGCCUAACACAUGCAAGUAGAACGGCAGCACAGUAAGAGCUUGCUCUUACGGUUGGCGAGUGGCGGACGGGUGAGGAAUACAUCGGAAUCUACUUUUUCGUGGGGGAUAACGUAGGGAAACUUACGCUAAUACCGCAUACGACCUACGGGUGAAAGCAGGGGAUCUUCGGACCUUGCGCGAUUGAAUGAGCCGAUGUCGGAUUAGCUAGUUGGCAGGGUAAAGGCCCACCAAGGCGACGAUCCGUAGCUGGUCUGAGAGGAUGAUCAGCCACACUGGAACUGAGACACGGUCCAGACUCCUACGGGAGGCAGCAGUGGGGAAUAUUGGACAAUGGGCGCAAGCCUGAUCCAGCCAUACCGCGUGGGUGAAGAAGGCCUUCGGGUUGUAAAGCCCUUUUGUUGGGAAAGAAAAGAAGCAGGUUAAUACCCCGCUGUUCUGACGGUACCCAAAGAAUAAGCACCGGCUAACUUCGUG